UCCACAUAUCCACCAGCAACAGUUUUAUUUUUGUUAUUAUGAUUUUUUUGUAUCACAUUGUAAAAUGUGAGUGUUUUAGCAGGGCAAGACCCUGAUAAAGUGCAUUUGUUUCCUAAUUGGGAGGAUGUGCAAGAAGUUAAUACGAAAAAUACGACAAGGCUCCAAACAGACCCAAUGAUUUGAUCUGUAAACAUAGCAGUUUGCAAAUUAGACCUAGUAUUGCACGUUCACUUGUGGCCAAUGAAAACACAAACAUAAGACAACUUGUAUGAAAGUAAUGCCCAAAUAUUCACACUUCAUGGUACCAAUAAAGUAUGCUUUGUUGCGUUUGCAUAUUUUCACUUAAAAAAUGCCGUCGAACAAACACAGGUUCGUCAGGUUUGUGUGCGUUUGUAAAGAGAUGGACACGGGAGGAGGUAGACUGAAGCACACUGCACCAUAACAUAAGCACGUCUGAGUUGGAUUCUUGUCCAGGGUUAAUGCAAUGUUGCUGCACCACACCGACACUGAGGGUAUCGCAUGAAUAUAAACAAAGAUCUCCACUUUGCUUUUCAUUGCGAGCAAUAUCUGCCGUUGGAAUGGUUUUUGCCUUUGUGGUCACGUGCUGUUACGGUGCCAACACUGGCUUCAGUUACCGAGCGUGGCGUACCAGCGCCUAGACCUUAGAAAGCUGCCACUGCCAAUGUGGUACUAACAGCUUUACCUACAACACUGCCACCCUGACAUGUUUUUUUAUAUAACAACAAAAAAAAAAAUCUACACAGAACACGAAGAAAACUUUUUAGUGCAGCAUGACUGGUUUGCUGAUUUGUCAAUUUUUCAAUCUUUUUAUUUGAUCGAACUGGUUUGGAAAUGUUAUAAUAGCAACCUCCUUUAAAAAAAUAAUUGCUGCAUUCUUCCGAGAUCAAUUGACCUUUCUUGCACACUGGGUGAAAUUUAUUUACAGAGUGGCGCGUGAUUGGAACUCACUAUGUAGCAGUUUUGCGUGUAAGAUUGAGUUAUCGAUUAGCUGACCAGCCAGUUCUGUCAGUGUUUACAGAAAAUAAAAAAAUCCUGACAUCUA
Lethenteron reissneri (Far Eastern brook lamprey) is the source of this 1063-nucleotide long non-coding RNA. RefSeq lists it as uncharacterized. Lineage: Eukaryota; Metazoa; Chordata; Hyperoartia; Petromyzontiformes; Petromyzontidae. The record is from RefSeq and is a predicted model, not a curated record.